RNAcentral lists this long non-coding RNA (924 nucleotides) under Brassica napus (rape). RNAcentral describes it as "long non-coding RNA (BNAP_LNC004318)". The record is from RNAcentral. Lineage: Eukaryota; Viridiplantae; Streptophyta; Magnoliopsida; Brassicales; Brassicaceae.
CUCGAACAAGGCCCUUCCAAUAAUUGAACUCGGCCCGUUUAGUUAGAAAGCAAUCAUACGAUAAGCCAGCUUAAAGACAAAAAUAGAGUUCCCGAUUAUAUAUAAGAAUAAAAAGAGACCGAAGACGAGGAAAAGCUUUCACAAACUUACUCUUCACGGCACAAAAGCUAGAGUUUUCACUAUUAUCAUUGUUAUUGCCGAAUUGAUCAUCUUUUCAUAUAAACUCAGUCUUUUCUCUUGUAAUUCGUCUCUUGAUCAAUCAAUAAACAUUUUUGAAAUAAUCCAACAUCAAAUUCGUAUACACAUCUAGUACAUCCCAAUUCAGAUUAAACGAUUGGUGCUGGGUGGAGAAUUAAAAACCAAUGCCAAUAAAGAUCAAACAUGAGUGGAGACGAUCUUACCGGCAUAGGGAGAACCAUGCUGACUACAUAUAUCGCCACCAUGAUGGAGAUGAUGAAACCACGAUGGAGUGUCUUCCUCAACAAGACGCGUAAACAAAGCGACAAACGAGCACCUUAGUGUCAAUGAACCACCAACCGCGAGGACGCUGAUAAUGUGACAGCAAGAAGACAGCUCUUUCUCACCAAUCAGGGACCAAAUCAUGCAACAAACCACUAGAUCCCCGUUCUUCGAACCACGAUGCAUGAUAUCACUUCAAAUAUCCAUAGAGUAACAAGUUUGGCACCUUCAUGCAUGUCCUUGCUGUAACCAUAAAAACUUCAUUCGCAAAGGAAAUCACCGACAUUAAGAUCCAUCAUACGAACAAGCAAAGGAUCCCAUUCGUCUUAGGAGAUCAUUUGAAUACGUUCAAUAUAGCCAUGGAACGAGCACACUUUGCAGACGAGGAGAAGGAUGCCAGAUACUGUCAACUGUUUGUAGUCUCAACAGACCGGCUAUGACCUGGUUCUCCAGAAUGUCUAAGGA